Molecule: ribosomal RNA, 216 nt
Filed under: uncultured bacterium
Lineage: Bacteria
Description: partial 16S ribosomal RNA
Rfam family: Bacterial small subunit ribosomal RNA
Source: RNAcentral
ACGCUCGACACCUACGGGGCAGCAGUGAGGAAUAUUGGUCAAUGGGCGCAGGCCUGAACCAGCCAAGUAGCGUGAAGGAUGACUGCCCUAUGGGUUGUAAACUUCUUUUAUAUGGGAAUAAAGUUUUCCACGUGUGGAAUUUUGUAUGUACCAUAUGAAUAAGGAUCGGCUAACUCCGUGCCAGCAGCCGCGGUAAUCUGAGCGGGCUGGCAAGGC